Molecule: ribosomal RNA, 468 nt
Filed under: uncultured bacterium
Lineage: Bacteria
Description: partial 16S ribosomal RNA
Rfam family: Bacterial small subunit ribosomal RNA
Source: RNAcentral
GACGAACGCUGGCGGCGUGCUUAACACAUGCAAGUCGAACGGAAAGGCCCUGCUUUUGUGGGGUGCUCGAGUGGCGAACGGGUGAGUAACACGUGAGUAACCUGCCCUUGACUUUGGGAUAACUUCAGGAAACUGGGGCUAAUACCGGAUAGGAGCUCCUGCUGCAUGGUGGGGGUUGGAAAGUUUCGGCGGUUGGGGAUGGACUCGCGGCUUAUCAGCUUGUUGGUGGGGUAGUGGCUUACCAAGGCCUUGACGGGUAGCCGGCCUGAGCGGGUGACCGGCCACAUUGGGACUGAGAUACGGCCCAGACUCCUACGGGAGGCAGCAGUGGGGAAUAGUGCACAAUGGGCGGAAGCCUGAUGCAGCAACGCCGCGUGCGGGAUGACGGCCUGCGGGUUGUAAACCGCUUUCGCCUGUGACGAAGCGUGAGUGACGGUAAUGGGUAAAGAAGCACCGGCUAACUACGUG